GACGAACGCUGGCGGCGUGCUUAACACAUGCAAGUCGAACGGAAAGGCCCUGCUUUUGUGGGGUGCUCGAGUGGCGAACGGGUGAGUAACACGUGAGUAACCUGCCCUUGACUUUGGGAUAACUUCAGGAAACUGGGGCUAAUACCGGAUAGGAGCUCCUGCUGCAUGGUGGGGGUUGGAAAGUUUCGGCGGUUGGGGAUGGACUCGCGGCUUAUCAGCUUGUUGGUGGGGUAGUGGCUUACCAAGGCUUUGACGGGUAGCCGGCCUGAGAGGGUGACCGGCCACAUUGGGAAUGAGAUACGGCCCAGACUCCUACGGGAGGCAGCAGUGGGGAAAAUUGCACAAUGGGCGGAAGCCUGAUGCAGCAACGCCGCGUGCGGAAUGACGGCCUUCGGGUUGUAAACCGCUUUCGCCUGUGACGAAGCGUGAGUGACGGUAAUGGGUAAAGAAGCACCGGCUAACUACGUG
This 468-nucleotide ribosomal RNA is filed under the name uncultured bacterium. Its description in RNAcentral is "partial 16S ribosomal RNA". It matches the Rfam family "Bacterial small subunit ribosomal RNA", at positions 28 to 507 of the family's 1533-position model. The record is from RNAcentral.